RNAcentral lists this ribosomal RNA (2904 nucleotides) under Shigella flexneri. RNAcentral's name for it is "23S ribosomal RNA". It matches the Rfam family "Bacterial large subunit ribosomal RNA". The record is from RNAcentral. Lineage: Bacteria; Pseudomonadati; Pseudomonadota; Gammaproteobacteria; Enterobacterales; Enterobacteriaceae.
GGUUAAGCGACUAAGCGUACACGGUGGAUGCCCUGGCAGUCAGAGGCGAUGAAGGACGUGCUAAUCUGCGAUAAGCGUCGGUAAGGUGAUAUGAACCGUUAUAACCGGCGAUUUCCGAAUGGGGAAACCCAGUGUGAUUCGUCACACUAUCAUUAACUGAAUCCAUAGGUUAAUGAGGCGAACCGGGGGAACUGAAACAUCUAAGUACCCCGAGGAAAAGAAAUCAACCGAGAUUCCCCCAGUAGCGGCGAGCGAACGGGGAGCAGCCCAGAGCCUGAAUCAGUGUGUGUGUUAGUGGAAGCGUCUGGAAAGGCGCGCGAUACAGGGUGACAGCCCCGUACACAAAAAUGCACAUGCUGUGAGCUCGAUGAGUAGGGCGGGACACGUGGUAUCCUGUCUGAAUAUGGGGGGACCAUCCUCCAAGGCUAAAUACUCCUGACUGACCGAUAGUGAACCAGUACCGUGAGGGAAAGGCGAAAAGAACCCCGGCGAGGGGAGUGAAAAAGAACCUGAAACCGUGUACGUACAAGCAGUGGGAGCACGCUUAGGCGUGUGACUGCGUACCUUUUGUAUAAUGGGUCAGCGACUUAUAUUCUGUAGCAAGGUUAACCGAAUAGGGGAGCCGAAGGGAAACCGAGUCUUAACUGGGCGUUAAGUUGCAGGGUAUAGACCCGAAACCCGGUGAUCUAGCCAUGGGCAGGUUGAAGGUUGGGUAACACUAACUGGAGGACCGAACCGACUAAUGUUGAAAAAUUAGCGGAUGACUUGUGGCUGGGGGUGAAAGGCCAAUCAAACCGGGAGAUAGCUGGUUCUCCCCGAAAGCUAUUUAGGUAGCGCCUCGUGAAUUCAUCUCCGGGGGUAGAGCACUGUUUCGGCAAGGGGGUCAUCCCGACUUACCAACCCGAUGCAAACUGCGAAUACCGGAGAAUGUUAUCACGGGAGACACACGGCGGGUGCUAACGUCCGUCGUGAAGAGGGAAACAACCCAGACCGCCAGCUAAGGUCCCAAAGUCAUGGUUAAGUGGGAAACGAUGUGGGAAGGCCCAGACAGCCAGGAUGUUGGCUUAGAAGCAGCCAUCAUUUAAAGAAAGCGUAAUAGCUCACUGGUCGAGUCGGCCUGCGCGGAAGAUGUAACGGGGCUAAACCAUGCACCGAAGCUGCGGCAGCGACGCUUAUGCGUUGUUGGGUAGGGGAGCGUUCUGUAAGCCUGUGAAGGUGUACUGUGAGGUAUGCUGGAGGUAUCAGAAGUGCGAAUGCUGACAUAAGUAACGAUAAAGCGGGUGAAAAGCCCGCUCGCCGGAAGACCAAGGGUUCCUGUCCAACGUUAAUCGGGGCAGGGUGAGUCGACCCCUAAGGCGAGGCCGAAAGGCGUAGUCGAUGGGAAACAGGUUAAUAUUCCUGUACUUGGUGUUACUGCGAAGGGGGGACGGAGAAGGCUAUGUUGGCCGGGCGACGGUUGUCCCGGUUUAAGCGUGUAGGCUGGUUUUCCAGGCAAAUCCGGAAAAUCAAGGCUGAGGCGUGAUGACGAGGCACUACGGUGCUGAAGCAACAAAUGCCCUGCUUCCAGGAAAAGCCUCUAAGCAUCAGGUAACAUCAAAUCGUACCCCAAACCGACACAGGUGGUCAGGUAGAGAAUACCAAGGCGCUUGAGAGAACUCGGGUGAAGGAACUAGGCAAAAUGGUGCCGUAACUUCGGGAGAAGGCACGCUGAUAUGUAGGUGAAGUCCCUCGCGGAUGGAGCUGAAAUCAGUCGAAGAUACCAGCUGGCUGCAACUGUUUAUUAAAAACACAGCACUGUGCAAACACGAAAGUGGACGUAUACGGUGUGACGCCUGCCCGGUGCCGGAAGGUUAAUUGAUGGGGUCAGCGCAAGCGAAGCUCUUGAUCGAAGCCCCGGUAAACGGCGGCCGUAACUAUAACGGUCCUAAGGUAGCGAAAUUCCUUGUCGGGUAAGUUCCGACCUGCACGAAUGGCGUAAUGAUGGCCAGGCUGUCUCCACCCGAGACUCAGUGAAAUUGAACUCGCUGUGAAGAUGCAGUGUACCCGCGGCAAGACGGAAAGACCCCGUGAACCUUUACUAUAGCUUGACACUGAACAUUGAGCCUUGAUGUGUAGGAUAGGUGGGAGGCUUUGAAGUGUGGACGCCAGUCUGCAUGGAGCCGACCUUGAAAUACCACCCUUUAAUGUUUGAUGUUCUAACGUGGACCCGUAAUCCGGGUUGCGGACAGUGUCUGGUGGGUAGUUUGACUGGGGCGGUCUCCUCCUAAAGAGUAACGGAGGAGCACGAAGGUUGGCUAAUCCUGGUCGGACAUCAGGAGGUUAGUGCAAUGGCAUAAGCCAGCUUGACUGCGAGCGUGACGGCGCGAGCAGGUGCGAAAGCAGGUCAUAGUGAUCCGGUGGUUCUGAAUGGAAGGGCCAUCGCUCAACGGAUAAAAGGUACUCCGGGGAUAACAGGCUGAUACCGCCCAAGAGUUCAUAUCGACGGCGGUGUUUGGCACCUCGAUGUCGGCUCAUCACAUCCUGGGGCUGAAGUAGGUCCCAAGGGUAUGGCUGUUCGCCAUUUAAAGUGGUACGCGAGCUGGGUUUAGAACGUCGUGAGACAGUUCGGUCCCUAUCUGCCGUGGGCGCUGGAGAAUUGAGGGGGGCUGCUCCUAGUACGAGAGGACCGGAGUGGACGCAUCACUGGUGUUCGGGUUGUCAUGCCAAUGGCACUGCCCGGUAGCUAAAUGCGGAAGAGAUAAGUGCUGAAAGCAUCUAAGCACGAAACUUGCCCCGAGAUGAGUUCUCCCUGACUCCUUGAGAGUCCUGAAGGAACGUUGAAGACGACGACGUUGAUAGGCCGGGUGUGUAAGCGCAGCGAUGCGUUGAGCUAACCGGUACUAAUGAACCGUGAGGCUUAACCUU